Molecule: ribosomal RNA, 336 nt
Filed under: Phyllocoptruta platycladuse
Lineage: Eukaryota; Metazoa; Arthropoda; Arachnida; Trombidiformes; Eriophyidae
Description: eukaryotic LSU rRNA
Rfam family: Eukaryotic large subunit ribosomal RNA
Source: RNAcentral
CCAAGGAGUCUAAUUAGGCAUCGAGUCGAUCAGUCUUGAUAGGCUAGAGAGAAAUAGUUUCGACUAUUUCAAUUGAAGGCGCAGAGAAAUCAAAUCAUGUGAUCAUUUAAGCAUACAACAGCUUUUAUGCGCAACAUGUGCCUGCUCAAUAUAGUAAUGUGCCUUAAAACACUUACUGGGCGGAGUAAAGAGAUGCUUGAUUGGUACCCGAAAGAUGGUGAACUAUGCUUGGGCAAAUUGAAGCCAGAGGAAACUCUGGUGGAGGAUUGUAGCGAUUCUGACGUGCAAAUCGAUCGUCAGACCUGAGUAUAGGGGCGAAAGACUAAUCGAACCAUC